This 468-nucleotide ribosomal RNA is filed under the name uncultured bacterium. RNAcentral describes it as "partial 16S ribosomal RNA". It matches the Rfam family "Bacterial small subunit ribosomal RNA", at positions 28 to 507 of the family's 1533-position model. The record is from RNAcentral.
GACGAACGCUGGCGGCGUGCUUAACACAUGCAAGUCGAACGGUAAGGCCCGGCUUUUGUGGGGUGCUCGAGUGGCGAACGGGGGAGUAUCACGUGAGUAACCUGCGCUUGACUUUGGGAGAACUUCAUGAAACUGGGGCGAAUACCGGAUAUGAGCUCCUGCUACAUGGUUUGUGAGGGAAAGAUUCGGCGGUUGGGCAUGGACUCGCGGCAUAUCAGCGUGUUGGUGGGGUGGUGGCUUACCAAGGCAUUGACGGGUAGACGGACUGAGAGGGUGACCGGACACAUUGGGACUGAGGUACGGCCCAGACUCAUACGGGAGGCAGCAGUGGGAAACAUAGCACAAUGGGCGGAAGCAUGAUGCAGCAACGCCGCGUGCGGGAUGACGGUCUUCGGGUUGUAAAGCGCUUUAGCCUGUGAAGCAGAGUGAGUGACGGUAAUGGCUAAAGAAGCACCGGCUAACUACGUG